RNAcentral lists this ribosomal RNA (253 nucleotides) under uncultured bacterium. RNAcentral describes it as "partial 16S ribosomal RNA". It matches the Rfam family "Bacterial small subunit ribosomal RNA", at positions 524 to 776 of the family's 1533-position model. The record is from RNAcentral.
UACGAAGGGGGCUAGCGUUGCUCGGAAUUACUGGGCGUAAAGGGCGCGUAGGCGGCACUGUUAGUCAGGCGUGAAAGUCCUGGGCUCAACCUGGGAACUGCGCUUGAUACGGCAGAGCUAGAGGAUAGAAGAGGCUCGCGGAAUUCCCAGUGUAGAGGUGAAAUUCGUAGAUAUUGGGAAGAACACCGGUGGCGAAGGCGGCGAGCUGGUCCAUUACUGACGCUGAGGCGCGACAGCGUGGGGAGCAAACAGG